CAGCCGCCGCGGUAAUACGUAGGGGGCGAGCGUUGUCCGGAUUUACUGGGCGUAAAGGGUGAGUAGGCGGUUAUAUAUGUCAGGUGUAAAAGAUCAUGGCUCAACCAUGGUUGGCACUUGAAACUGUAUGACUUGAGUGCAGGAGAGGUAAGCGGAAUUCCUAGUGUAGCGGUGAAAUGCGUAGAUAUUAGGAGGAACACCAGUGGCGAAGGCGGCUUACUGGACUGUAACUGACGCUGAGACACGAAAGCGUGGGUAGCAAACAGGAUUAGAUACCCUGGUAGUCCACGCUGUAAACGAUGAGUGCUAGGUGUUGGGUAGCGAUAUUCAGUGCCGGAGUAAACACAAUAAGCACUCCGCCUGGGGAGUACGUACGCAAGUAUGAAACUCAAAGGAAUUGACGGGGACCCGCACAAGCAGCGGAGCAUGUGGUUUAAUUCGAAGCAACGCGAAGAACCUUACCAAGGCUUGACAUCCCCUUGACCAGUGCAGAGAUGUACUCUCUUCUUCGGAAGCAAGGGAGACAGGUGGUGCAUGGCC
RNAcentral lists this ribosomal RNA (540 nucleotides) under uncultured archaeon. Its description in RNAcentral is "bacterial SSU rRNA". It matches the Rfam family "Bacterial small subunit ribosomal RNA", at positions 509 to 1050 of the family's 1533-position model. The record is from RNAcentral.